GAUGAACGCUGGCGGCGUGCCUAAUACAUACAAGUCGAGCGAACAGAUGAGGAGCUUGCUCCUCUGACGUUAGCGGCGGACGGGUGAGUAACACGUGGAUAACCUACCUAUAAGACUGGGAUAACUUCGGGAAACCGGAGCUAAUACCGGAUAAUAUAUUGAACCGCAUGGUUCAAUAGUGAAAGACGGUUUUGCUGUCACUUAUAGAUGGAUCCGCGCCGCAUUAGCUAGUUGGUAAGGUAACGGCUUACCAAGGCAACGAUGCGUAGCCGACCUGAGAGGAUGAUCGGCCACACUGGAACUGAGACACGGUCCAGACUCCUACGGGAGGCAGCAGUAGGGAAUAUUCCGCAAUGGGCGAAAGCCUGACGGAGCAACGCCGCGUGAGUGAUGAAGGUCUUCGGAUCGUAAAACUCUGUUAUUAGGGAAGAACAAAUGUGUAAGUAACGAUGCACGUCUUGACGGUACCUAAUCAGAAAGCCACGGCUAACUACGUG
RNAcentral lists this ribosomal RNA (497 nucleotides) under uncultured bacterium. Its description in RNAcentral is "partial 16S ribosomal RNA". It matches the Rfam family "Bacterial small subunit ribosomal RNA", at positions 28 to 507 of the family's 1533-position model. The record is from RNAcentral.